RNAcentral lists this long non-coding RNA (3284 nucleotides) under Triticum aestivum (bread wheat). Its description in RNAcentral is "long non-coding RNA (TAES_LNC005132)". Lineage: Eukaryota; Viridiplantae; Streptophyta; Magnoliopsida; Poales; Poaceae. The record is from RNAcentral.
UUCACACAACCCAUGUAAUACAUAAGGGAAAGAGAUACAUAGUUGGCUUACAAUCGCCACUUCACCCAAUUACAUGAAUAAAGCAUUACAUCAAACAGAUACAAUCAAGGUCCGACUACGUAACCAAAAUAAAAGAAGACUACCCCAAAUGCUACACAGAUCCCUGAUCGACCCCAACUGGGCUCCACUACUGAUCAACUGGAAACGGAAACGACAUAACGAACACGAUCUUCAUUGAGCUCCUCCUUGAUCUCGGUUGCAUCACCUGCAUGAUAUCAUCGGCACCUGCAAACUGGUUUUGGAAGUAUCUAUAAGUCACGGGGACUCAGCAAUCUCACACCCUCGCGAUCAAGACUAUUUAAGCUUAUAGGUAGGGUAAAAGGUAUGAGGUGGAGCUGCAGCACGCGACUAGCAUAUAUGGUGGCUAAACAUACGCAAAUGAGAGCGAGAAGAGAAGGCCAAAGCACGAUCGUGAAACUAUGAUCAAGAAGUGAUCCUAGAACAACCUACGUCAAGCAUAACUCCAACACCGUGUUCACUUCCCGGACUCCGCCGGAAAGAGACCAUCACGGUUACACACGCGGUUGAUGUAUUUUAAUUAAGGUCAACUUCGGGUUUUCUACAACCGAACAUUAACAAAUUCCCAUCUGCCCAUAACCGCGGGCACGGCUUUCGAAAGUUCAAAACCCUGCAGGGGUGUCCCAGCUUAGCCCAUCACAAGCUCUCACGGUCAACGAAGGAUAUUCCUUCUCCCAAGACAAUCCGAUCAGACUCGGCAUCCAGGUUACAAGACAACCUCGACAAUGGUAAAACAAGUCCAGCAACACCGCCCGAAUGUGCUGACAAAUCCCGAUAGGAGCUGCACAUAUCUCGUUCUCAGGGCACACUCAGAUUGUCCAAACUUCCGGUAGGCCAGCCCAGAGUUGCCCCUGGUGGCCACCGGCGGCUGACAGUUUGGACCAACACUCAAAGGAGCACUGGCCCGGGGGGUUAAAAUAAAGAUGACCCUUGAAUCUGCAGAACCCAAGGGAAAGAAAAGGCUAGGUGGCGAAUGGUAAAACCAAGGUUGGGCAUUGCUGGAGGAGUUUUAUUCAAGGCGAACUGUCAAGGGGUUCCCAUUAUAACCCAACCGCGUAAGGAAUGCACAAUCCAGGAACAUAACACCGAUAUGACGAAAACUAGGGCGGCAAGAGUGGAACAAAACACCAGGCAUAAGGCCGAGCCUUCCACCCUUUACCAAGUAUAUAGAUGCAUUAAUUAAAUAAGAGAUAUUGUGAUAUCCCAACAAGUAAACAUGUUCCAACAAGGAACAACAUCUCCAUGUUCCAACAAGGAACAAACUUCAAUCUUCACCUGCAACUAACAACGCUAUAAGAGGGGCUGAGCAAAGCGGUAACAUAGCCAAACAACGGUUUGCUAGGACAAGGUGGGUUAGAGGCUUGGUUCAACAAUAUGGGAGGUAUGAUAAGCAAGUGGUAGGUAUCGCAGCAUAGGCAUAGCAAAAGAGCGAGCAACUAGCAAGCAAAGAUAGAAGUGAUUUCGAGGGUAUGGUCAUCUUGCCUGAGAUCCCGCAAGGAAGAAGAACGAGUCCAUGAAGAAGACAACCGGACAUAGCCGAACGAAUCCUCACAAACGCGACGUUAUCAGAACUAACCCGAAGAAGCAACACCGGAAAGAAGCAAACAACAUAGUAAACAACCAUCACAUAAACAUGGCAUGAUGCAUAACCAAGUAUGAUGCAUGUCCGGUUUAAUGAAGCAUGGAAUGGCAAAGUGCAACAAACAACACUAUAAAUUAAGUGGAGCUCAAUAUGCAACGGAGUUGCAUAUUGAAGAAAACACCACAUGAGUUAUUUAGUUCACUCCCGGUUAGGUACUCAACAAUAUUAAAUGUUGAUUAACAUGUCAAGAGGUGAAGCAAAGUAAAACUAUCUAUCUAGGCAAGUUUAAAUGAGGCCGGAACAACAAGCAAUAAGUCCGGAAAAUCCUCAUGUGCAUAUUAAUGGAUUUGGUACUGUUCUGCCCUAAACACAAUUUUAGGGUUGUUAAACAUGCAAAGUGAUGCCAUCAUGUUAAACUAGACAUUUUUCUACCCCAUUUACAUAUAAAGAUUAUUAAAUUUGGAGCUACGGUUAUUUACUUAUGAAUUAAAUCAUUUCAACAUGCUAUUUAAACAAAUUUAAACAAACAGCAAUUUAAACAUUUUUAACAUGGAUGAAAAUUACAAAUUAUUAAACUAGACAAAAUUCUAAACAAUUUACAUAUAUGACAUAUUUUAUUUGGAUGCAUGGAUUUUUAGUUAUCAACAAUGCAAAACAGUGGCAUUUCAGUAAAUAAGAAUGCAUUGGAAAAUGCUAAAAUACACAGACUGGAAAAAAGUAUGCAUGGGCCGGAUUGCAGCGGCCCAGCAGGACUUGGCCCGAAUGAGCGCUGAGUGUGUGGGAGACAGAGAGGAUGACGAGUGGGGUCCCACUGUCAUAGAGGGGACAGAGGCAAAAAUUCGGGUUCCAAAUAUGUUCCCGAGGGGAUUCGAACCCGGGACUCCCCGGUAGAACUACAUGGCCCGAACCAUUGCGCUACUGUUGCUAUUGCUGACAGGAUGGGGCACGGCUUGUUUUGAUCUAGUCCCACGGCGGACGGGGUUUCUUCUUCUCUGCAAAAGAGAACACACCGACUACGCCGGCGGGCAACGGUGAAACAGCGGGGCCCAGGAGACGGCGGCGGGUGUGCGGAACUGGGAGGUAGAUGUGUUGUGCGACGGAUGCGUACAAAGGCUCGUGCACGAGCUCGUGCUCGUCUCGGGCAUGGCACGGCAAGGCGGGAGGCAACGGCAGCUUGGCGAGCAAGGGAGUGAAGCAGGGCAAGCAGCAGUCGGGCAAGCAGCGUGCGUAGGUGAUGUGGUGCCAGAAACAGGGAGACGCGGGCGUCGCAUUGGUGUCUCGCGAGAGUGCAGCGUGCAUGAGUGGAGGCGCUGAGUGUAGGUUCUCGCGUGCGCAAAAAUUCAGAGAUCAAGGCCAUGGCGGACGGCUUCGGGGUUGCGCGGAUCGAUGGGCAUGCGGACAACGAGACCAGAGAGAGAGAGAUGGGGAGGAGCGGAGGCUUCACCAUGGGAGUGUUGCUGGAGUCGAUCGGGGUCAGGGACGAGCGGAAGCGACGAGGGAAGGCGUUGUCCAUGAAGCAGGGGAGGAAGAGGACGACGGGGAGGUAGCCGGACUUGGUGAUCCUUGGGCGCGGCUCGUCGUCAGAAUGGGUCCGGGGCAGUGUUCUCGAGCGAGUAGACGACGG